RNAcentral lists this non-coding RNA (26 nucleotides) under Mus musculus (house mouse). Lineage: Eukaryota; Metazoa; Chordata; Mammalia; Rodentia; Muridae. The record is from RNAcentral.
AGGGACGCCGACCAUAAAUUUGAGUG